RNAcentral lists this unclassified non-coding RNA (337 nucleotides) under soil metagenome. RNAcentral's name for it is "partial contains 5.8S ribosomal RNA, internal transcribed spacer 2, and large subunit ribosomal RNA". The stretch from base 1 to 120 matches the Rfam family "5.8S ribosomal RNA", at positions 35 to 154 of the family's 154-position model. The record is from RNAcentral.
GAUGAAGAACGCAGCGAAAUGCGAUAAGUAAUGUGAAUUGCAGAAUUCAGUGAAUCAUCGAAUCUUUGAACGCACAUUGCGCCCGCCAGUAUUCUGGCGGGCAUGCCUGUUCGAGCGUCAUUUCAACCAUCAAGCCCCCGGGCUUGUGUUGGGGACCUGCGGCUGCCGCAGGCCCUGAAAAGCAGUGGCGGGCUCGCUGUCACACCGAGCGUAGUAGAUUUUAUCUCGCUCAGGGCGUGCUGCGGGUUCCGGCCGUUAAACCACCUUCAUAACCCGAGGUUGACCUCGGAUCAGGUAGGAAGACCCGCUGAACUUAAGCAUAUCAAUAAGCGGAGGA